This 582-nucleotide ribosomal RNA is filed under the name uncultured Bacteroidota bacterium. RNAcentral's name for it is "bacterial SSU rRNA". It matches the Rfam family "Bacterial small subunit ribosomal RNA", at positions 78 to 659 of the family's 1533-position model. The record is from RNAcentral. Lineage: Bacteria; Pseudomonadati; Bacteroidota.
GCUUGCUUCCGCCGACGACCGGCGCACGGGUGCGUAACGCGUAUACAAUCUACCUUAUACUGGGGUAUAGCCUUUAGAAAUGAAGAUUAACCCCCCAUAGUCUCUUAGAGUGGCAUCACUUCUAGAGUAAAGGUUACGGUAUAAGAUGAGUAUGCGUUCUAUUAGUUUGUUGGUGUGGUAACGGCACACCAAGACUACGAUAGAUAGGGGCCCUGAGAGGGGGAUCCCCCACACUGGUACUGAGACACGGACCAGACUCCUACGGGAGGCAGCAGUGAGGAAUAUUGGACAAUGGAGGCAACUCUGAUCCAGCCAUGCCGCGUGCAGGAAGACUGCCCUAUGGGUUGUAAACUGCUUUUAUACAGGAAGAAACACCUCUACGUGUAGAGGCUUGACGGUACUGUAAGAAUAAGGAUCGGCUAACUCCGUGCCAGCAGCCGCGGUAAUACGGAGGAUCCAAGCGUUAUCCGGAAUCAUUGGGUUUAAAGGGUCCGUAGGUGGAUAAUUAAGUCAGAGGUGAAAUCUUGCAGCUCAACUGUAAAAUUGCCUUUGAAACUGGUUAUCUUGAGUUAUUAUGAAGUA